CUACGGGUGGCUGCAGUGGGGAAUAUUGCACAAUGGGCGCAAGCCUGAUGCAGCCAUGCCGCGUGUGUGAAGAAGGCCUUCGGGUUGUAAAGCACUUUCAGCGGGGAGGAAGGCGUUAAGGUUAAUAACCUUGGCGAUUGACGUUACCCGCAGAAGAAGCACCGGCUAACUCCGUGCCGGCAGCCGCGGUAAUACGGAGGGUGCAAGCGUUAAUCGGAAUUACUGGGCGUAAAGCGCACGCAGGCGGUCUGUCAGGUCGGAUGUGAAAUCCCCGGGCUCAACCUGGGAACUGCAUUCGAAACUGGCAGGCUAGAGUCUUGUAGAGGGGGGUAGAAUUCCAGGUGUAGCGGUGAAAUGCGUAGAGAUCUGGAGGAAUACCGGUGGCGAAGGCGGCCCCCUGGACAAAGACUGACGCUCAGGUGCGAAAGCGUGGGGAGCAAACAGGAUUAGAUACCCUAGUAGUC
This 464-nucleotide ribosomal RNA is filed under the name uncultured Klebsiella sp. RNAcentral describes it as "bacterial SSU rRNA". It matches the Rfam family "Bacterial small subunit ribosomal RNA", at positions 339 to 795 of the family's 1533-position model. The record is from RNAcentral. Lineage: Bacteria; Pseudomonadati; Pseudomonadota; Gammaproteobacteria; Enterobacterales; Enterobacteriaceae.